RNAcentral lists this ribosomal RNA (460 nucleotides) under uncultured bacterium. RNAcentral describes it as "bacterial SSU rRNA". It matches the Rfam family "Bacterial small subunit ribosomal RNA", at positions 193 to 633 of the family's 1533-position model. The record is from RNAcentral.
UCGUAAGAUGAAAGCGAGGGACCGCAAGGCCUCGCGCGAUUGGAGCGGCCGAUGUCGGAUUAGCUAGUUGGCGGGGUAAGAGCCCACCAAGGCGACGAUCCGUAGCUGGUUUGAGAGAACGACCAGCCACACUGGGACUGAGACACGGCCCAGACUCCUACGGGAGGCAGCAGUGGGGAAUUUUGGACAAUGGGGGCAACCCUGAUCCAGCCAUGCCGCGUGUGUGAAGAAGGCCUUCGGGUUGUAAAGCACUUUCGGCCGGAACGAAAUCGCCUCCGUUAACAGCGGGGGUGGAUGACGGUACCGGAAGAAGAAGCACCGGCUAACUACGUGCCAGCAGCCCGCGGUAAUACGUAGGGUGCGAGCGUUAAUCGGAAUUACUGGGCGUAAAGGGUGCGCAGGCGGCCCCGCAAGUCAGGCGUGAAAUCCCCGGGCUUAACCUGGGAAUGGCGCUUGAAAC